This 467-nucleotide ribosomal RNA is filed under the name uncultured bacterium. Its description in RNAcentral is "bacterial SSU rRNA". It matches the Rfam family "Bacterial small subunit ribosomal RNA", at positions 355 to 825 of the family's 1533-position model. The record is from RNAcentral.
UAAGGAAUAUUGGUCAAUGCCCGGAAGGGUGAACCAGCCAUCCCGCGUGAAGGAUGAAGGGGCUCUGCCUUGUAAACUUCUUUUGAAUGGGACGAAAAAGCCUCACUUGUGAGGAACUGACGGUACCAUUAGAAUAAGCACCGGCUAACUCCGUGCCAGCAGCCGCGGUAAUACGGAGGGUGCGAGCGUUAUCCGGAAUCACUGGGUUUAAAGGGUGCGUAGGCGGCUGUAUAAGUCAGUGGUGAAAGGCUGUGGCUUAACCAUGGGAUUGCCAUUGAUACUGUACGGCUUGAAUUAGGAUGAGGUUGGCGGAAUGUGACAUGUAGCGGUGAAAUGCUUAGAUAUGUCAUGGAACAUCGAUUGCGAAGGCAGCUGACUGGACCUUAAUUGACGCUGAGGCACGAAAGCGUGGGGAGCGAACAGGAUUAGAUACCCGGGUAGUCCCUGAGCGGGCUGGCAAGGCGCAU